RNAcentral lists this ribosomal RNA (484 nucleotides) under uncultured bacterium. RNAcentral describes it as "bacterial SSU rRNA". It matches the Rfam family "Bacterial small subunit ribosomal RNA", at positions 31 to 507 of the family's 1533-position model. The record is from RNAcentral.
GAACGCUAGCGACAGGCCUAACACAUGCAAGUCGAGGGGCAGCACGAAGUAAGCUUGCUUACUUUGGUGGCGACCGGCGCACGGGUGCGUAACAGGUGUGCAAUCUGUCCAUAAUCGGGGAAUAGCCCAGCGAAAGUUGGAUUAAUGCUCCAUGUGAGUUUUAGAGGCAUCUCUUUAAUUUGAAACGUAAGGAUUAUGGGUGAGCACGCUUCUGAUUAGGUAGUUGGUGAGGUAACGGCCCACCAAGGCAACGAUCAUUAGGGGUUCUGAGAGGAAGGUCCCCCACACUGGAACUGAGACACGGUCCAGACUCCUACGGGAGGCAGCAGUGAGGAAUAUUGGUCAAUGGAGGCAACUCUGAACCAGCCAAGUAGCGUGCAGGACGACGGCCCUAUGGGUUGUAAACUGCUUUUAUGCGGGGAUAAAUGAUCCUACGUGUAGGAUUUUGCAGGUACCGCAUGAAUAAGGACCGGCUAAUUCCGUG